GGCGAACGGGUGAGUAACACGUUGGUGACCUACCCCAGAGAGGGGGAUAACAGCUCGAAAGGGCUGCUAAUACCCCAUGUCGUCAUGGCGCUUAGAAAGCCAUGUCGAAAGGUGCAAAUCGCUCUGGGAGGAGCCUGCGUCCCAUCAGCUAGUUGGUAGGGUAAUGGCCUACCAAGGCGACGACGGGUAGGGGACCUGAGAGGGUGACCCCCCACACUGGCACUGAAACACGGGCCAGACACCUACGGGUGGCAGCAGUAGGGAAUAUUGCACAAUGGGCGAAAGCCUGAUGCAGCAACGCCGCGUGCGCGAUGAAGGCCUUCGGGUCGUAAAGCGCUUUUCGGGGAGAUGAGGAAGGACAGUAUCCCCGGAAUAAGGAUCGGCUAACUACGUGCCAGCAGCCGCGGUAAAACGUAGGAUCCGAGCGUUAUCCGAAUUCACUGGGCGUAAAGCGCGUGCAGGCGGUCCGGUAAGUUGGAUGUGAAAUCUCCUGGCUCAACUGGGAGAGGACGUUCAAUACUGUC
This 524-nucleotide ribosomal RNA is filed under the name uncultured Anaerolineae bacterium. RNAcentral describes it as "bacterial SSU rRNA". It matches the Rfam family "Bacterial small subunit ribosomal RNA", at positions 97 to 637 of the family's 1533-position model. Lineage: Bacteria; Bacillati; Chloroflexota; Anaerolineae. The record is from RNAcentral.